Molecule: ribosomal RNA, 254 nt
Filed under: uncultured bacterium
Lineage: Bacteria
Description: partial 16S ribosomal RNA
Rfam family: Bacterial small subunit ribosomal RNA
Source: RNAcentral
UACGAAGGGGACUAGCGUUGUUCGGAAUCACUGGGCGUAAAGCGCACGUAGGCGGAUAUGUCAGUCAGGGGUGAAAUCCCGGGGCUUAACCUCGGAACUGCCUUUGAUACAGCAUAUCUUGAGUCCGAUAGAGGUGGGUGGAAUUCCUAGUGUAGAGGUGAAAUUCGUAGAUAUUAGGAAGAACACCGGUGGCGAAGGCGGCCCACUGGAUCGGUACUGACGCUGAGGUGCGAAAGCGUGGGGGAGCAAACAGG